This is a long non-coding RNA of Helianthus annuus (common sunflower), 1428 nucleotides long. RefSeq lists it as uncharacterized. Lineage: Eukaryota; Viridiplantae; Streptophyta; Magnoliopsida; Asterales; Asteraceae. The transcript is spliced from 7 exons. The record is from RefSeq and is a predicted model, not a curated record.
GGUGAAUUUUUGCAGUGAACAAGCAUUUGCUCUAUGAAUUCAUUGAGAUGGGCCUCCUAAGUGCUGGUCCAGAUGGUUGUGUUUCGGUCUCUAAGGAAGUAUGAAUCAUCCUACUUAGACAAUGAUGAAGAAUCUGAUCUUGGCAACAAGAAGAUUUUAGACUUUUAUUGUUGGUUGGGACAGGUUAACAACCCUGCAGAUGGUGAAAUUAUAGCUACUGUUCCAUGCAUGGGUGAGAUGGAAACGAAAGAUGCGAUUUCGGCAACGUAUGAUGCUUUUACCCGUAUGGAGCCAAACAAUCUCUUAUAGCUAGAUAUGUGCCUGUUACGCUUCAUUGUAAAGGGGAAAGGGAUUCAGAUGCAAACAACCUCUAAGAGAAGCUAUUGCAGAGCCGGUUGGUGUGGUUGGUGUAAUCACUCCAUGGAAUUUCCCCAUCGCAAAGAUUGCUCGCAAGGUUGGCCCUGCUCUUGCCUGUGGCUGUACUAUGGUCAUAAAGCCCUCUGAGCUCACACCAUUGACCGCCUUAGCAUUGGUGAUUCUCUACUAGAGAGCACACAGGUCAGGAAGAUAACAUUUACUGGUUCCACCAUUGUUGGAAAGAAGCUGAUGGCUGGUCCAUCAAAGACUGUUAAAAAGGUAUCUCUUGAACUUGGUGGUAACGUGCCUUGCAUAAUAUUCGAUGAUGCUGACCUGGAAUUGGCAGUGAAGGGGAGUUUGUCAACUAAAUUCAAUAACACUGGACAACAAUGUGUAUGCACAAAUAGAAUACUUGUGCAAGAAGGUAUGUAUUAGUGAGUUAUAGAAGUUAAAGGAGUGCUUUUGUAAUUGUCAGUUGUAAAAGGGGUCAGUUGUAAAUGAUUAAUUAACUCAGCUUGGCUGCUACUUGUUUAAUCUUUUGCAAUAAAGGAUUACCAGUCAACUUAAAAAGGUAUUCCUUUUCUGUUCUUAACAUACGUAUAGUUGAAAUUCUAAUAAGAUGUUUUCAUAAGUUGUUUUGGUAUUAUUUAAUGAUCUCUUAUGUUUUCAUUAUGAUUAUUUUACUUUGUUAGUUGUUUGAAUUUUUAUAAAUUUGACUUUUUUAUGCAGUCUAUUCAACAAGAUAACUAAGAAGACAAUAUUGGGUUGAAUUUUUGUACAUGUUUUCUAGAGGAUUGUGUUGUGUGCAAAGGAACUACGGAUAAUAUAACUGUGUUUCUUGCAGCCUGAAGAAAGGCAGCCGUUUUCCCCCUUCAUUUGCUGAAUGAUUAGACAAGGCAGUAAAACUCAAGUUUUCACUUGCCCUAUCAUUGGACAAUAAUUACUUUCCAAGACAUGGAGGCUGGUAAUUGCCAAUAGAAUGUAAUGAUUUUUACAUAUUCUUGUAUCUUGAUAAUUGCCAACAGAAUGUAUUGAUUUUUCUUUUGCCAAAAUCUGUUGAUUAUAUAGUUG